UCUCCGUUGGUGAACCAGCGGAGGGAUCAUUACAGAGUUGCAAAACUCCCAACCCUUUGUGAACGAACCUACCAGUUGCUUCGGCGGCAGACCCCUCUGGGGCCUAGCCUUUACGGGUACCCCGCCGGAGUCCUACAAACUCUUGAUUUUUUGGCAUCCCUGAGUAGCUUAUAAAUAAGUUAAAACUUUCAACAACGGAUCUCUUGGUUCUG
This 212-nucleotide unclassified non-coding RNA is filed under the name plant metagenome. RNAcentral describes it as "partial contains small subunit ribosomal RNA, internal transcribed spacer 1, and 5.8S ribosomal RNA". The record is from RNAcentral.